GACGAACGCUGGCGGCGUGCCUAAUACAUGCAAGUAGAACGCACAGUUUAUACCGUAGCUUGCUACACCAUAGACUGUGAGUUGCGAACGGGUGAGUAACGCGUAGGUAACCUGCCUGGUAGCGGGGGAUAACUAUUGGAAACGAUAGCUAAUACCGCAUAAUAUUAAUUAUUGCAUGAUAAUUAAUUGAAAGAUGCAAUUGCACCACUACCAGAUGGACCUGCGUUGUAUUAGCUAGUAGGUGAGGUAACGGCUCACCUAGGCGACGAUACAUAGCCGACCUGAGAGGGUGAUCGGCCACACUGGGACUGAGACACGGCCCAGACUCCUACGGGAGGCAGCAGUAGGGAAUCUUCGGCAAUGGACGAAAGUCUGACCGAGCAACGCCGCGUGAGUGAAGAAGGUUUUCGGAUCGUAAAGCUCUGUUGUAAGAGAAGAACGGGUGUGAGAGUGGAAAGUUCACACUGUGACGGUAUCUUACCAGAAAGGGACGGCUAACUACGUG
RNAcentral lists this ribosomal RNA (505 nucleotides) under uncultured bacterium. Its description in RNAcentral is "partial 16S ribosomal RNA". It matches the Rfam family "Bacterial small subunit ribosomal RNA", at positions 28 to 507 of the family's 1533-position model. The record is from RNAcentral.